AGAAAUAAUAAAUGAAGGUAACAAGCAUUAGUAAGAAGUAUCUAGAAUCUAGAAGGCAAAAAUGUUCUCUUUUUGAGGGAGACAAUGACCAGCACAAAAGUCAUAAAUAAUGAUGAAGCAGGAUAUUACUUGAUUCUCACAAUAUAACUGUUUUAAUUUGUUUCAAUAACAUAAGUCAUAAAGAGAUGCAAAGGAGGUUCUUACUCUUUCAAAUAAAUAAUCUUUGUUAGGCACCAAGGAGUGCUACUCCAUUACACUAAGGGCAGACGAUUUCAAAUCAGUAAAAAAAAAUGGCACUAUUUUUCAAAAUCAAUCAUCUUGCCAAUAAAAAAUUUAGUCAUGCAGCCUCCUCUCUUUAGUUUAUCUAAAGAGGAUGCAUUUCUCUCAAAAGCACUUACUCCUCUCUCUAAAUUAUCCAAAUGCUCUAAAAAGGAGUCUCUUCAAGCAUAAAACCACAUUUAAAAAUUUUCUUCAUAAGCCAAGCAAACCCCCUAGCUCACCAUAUACCAAAACCAAAGAGUACUAAUCCAUGCAAAGUGGAGGAGUAAGUGGUUCACCAACUCACCAUGACUCUCUCAGAAAUUCAAUCACACAGUAUGUGAGAGCACACACAAAUAUAGACAAGGAUAAAACAAGACAUGAAAAUUUUACAUGGAACAGCGGUUUACCUAUAUAUAUAGAGCCAUUGGCAUUACUC
RNAcentral lists this unclassified non-coding RNA (697 nucleotides) under Hevea brasiliensis (rubber tree). Lineage: Eukaryota; Viridiplantae; Streptophyta; Magnoliopsida; Malpighiales; Euphorbiaceae. The record is from RNAcentral.